Molecule: non-coding RNA, 152 nt
Filed under: bovine gut metagenome
Also listed under: 1 other name
Source: RNAcentral
GGAACUUAGAAGUACUUGAUAUUCUGCUUGAUUUCAGCAAUGUUUGAACACGAUGUUCAAACAAGCCGCUGUUGAGACAUGGAUGUCGAAUCAGCGGCGGUUGCGUGCGAGAUGAAUAUUGGAAGCAGAAUAUCGUAGUACUUCUUAGUUUC